GCUUUCUCUUUACCACAAAGAAAUCAAAAUUCUGUGUAUAACAUCCGAGUCUGUUGCCAUAGAAACAGCGGUGCCAUAGAGACAGCAUGACUUCUCUGUAGAAUCAAGUAUGAUGGAAAGACAGGCUGAGGGAACAGAAACUUGCUUAAAAUAUAAACAAGAGAAUUAACUAAAAAUGGUUCUUAACAUUAAUUUCAGGUGGUGGCCAAAUAGCGUGGAGUCUCCCUGGAGUUUUGUCAUCUUGCUCUGAGGGAUUCAGUGCUGCAGCAUGGACUAAAACUAUUUGUCAAAUUUUACAAGUCCAGACAAUCCAAGAGAAACAAGAAGGCUCC
Molecule: long non-coding RNA, 332 nt
Organism: Pelodiscus sinensis (Chinese soft-shelled turtle)
Lineage: Eukaryota; Metazoa; Chordata; Testudines; Trionychidae
Source: RefSeq, a predicted model, not a curated record